RNAcentral lists this ribosomal RNA (465 nucleotides) under Vreelandella stevensii. RNAcentral's name for it is "partial 16S ribosomal RNA". It matches the Rfam family "Bacterial small subunit ribosomal RNA", at positions 338 to 795 of the family's 1533-position model. Lineage: Bacteria; Pseudomonadati; Pseudomonadota; Gammaproteobacteria; Oceanospirillales; Halomonadaceae. The record is from RNAcentral.
CCUACGGGUGGCAGCAGUGGGGAAUAUUGGACAAUGGGCGAAAGCCUGAUCCAGCCAUGCCGCGUGUGUGAAGAAGGCCUUCGGGUUGUAAAGCACUUUCAGUGGGGAAGAAAGCCUUGGGGCUAAUACCCUCGAGGAAGGACAUCACCCACAGAAGAAGCACCGGCUAACUCCGUGCCAGCAGCCGCGGUAAUACGGAGGGUGCGAGCGUUAAUCGGAAUUACUGGGCGUAAAGCGCGCGUAGGCGGUCUGAUAAGCCGGUUGUGAAAGCCCCGGGCUCAACCUGGGAACGGCAUCCGGAACUGUCAGGCUAGAGUGCAGGGGAGGAAGGUAGAAUUCCCGGUGUAGCGGUGAAAUGCGUAGAGAUCGGGAGGAAUACCAGUGGCGAAGGCGGCCUUCUGGACUGACACUGACGCUGAGGUGCGAAAGCGUGGGUAGCAAACAGGAUUAGAUACCCUAGUAGUC